CUAUCGCUGCUUGUGCAGCUCUAAUACCAUUAGUCACUUGUUAUUGUUUUUUAGCCGCUAAUGUUAAAUUAAGAUAAAUAUGGAAGUAGAAUUCAGCAAAGAGAACUUUCUGCUGCCAGAGACAAAGUAUGAGUACCUGGACCACACGGCCGACGUGCAACUCCAUGCCUGGGGCACUACGCUGACGGAGGCCUUCGAGCAGUGCGGCGUCUCCAUGUUCGGAUACAUGACGGAGCUGGAGUACGUGUCCGUGGAGAGCUGCUAUGAGAUCGAGGCCAAGGGCGAUGAUCUGGAGGGCCUAUUGUUUCACUUUCUCGACGAGCUGCUAUUCCUGUUCUCCUGUGAGCCGAAUCUGGUGUGCAAGAAACUGGAAAUCACCAAAUUCGAUCUGGAGACCUUCGAGAUUGUCUGCCGCUGCUACGGCGAACCAUUCGAGCUGGGCAAACAUCCGCAGGGCACCGAGGUGAAGGCAAUAACCUACUCGGCCAUGCAAAUCGUACAGGACGCGGACAACAGCAACUUCGAAGUGUUUGUUAUAAUUGAUAUUUGAGCAAAGCUGUCGCCGGUGCAAACGGAUCCCCCCGGAUAUCCAGUGAUUUUUUCGCUUAGCUGGUAUGUCGAUUGCAUUUACUCCUUCCUUGUCUCCAUUAAUCAUAAGUGAAAUGCCAAAAACAAAAA
This is an RNA transcript of Drosophila subobscura, 678 nucleotides long. It is a transcript of the gene named protein archease-like, with no coding region annotated. Lineage: Eukaryota; Metazoa; Arthropoda; Insecta; Diptera; Drosophilidae. The record is from RefSeq and is a predicted model, not a curated record. The transcript is spliced from 4 exons.